Molecule: ribosomal RNA, 192 nt
Filed under: uncultured Anaerolineaceae bacterium
Lineage: Bacteria; Bacillati; Chloroflexota; Anaerolineae; Anaerolineales; Anaerolineaceae
Description: partial 16S ribosomal RNA
Rfam family: Bacterial small subunit ribosomal RNA
Source: RNAcentral
AGCAUGACCUUUAUAUCCAGGGCUUACACACACGCUACAAUGGUCUGUACAAUGGGUAGCCAAGCCGCGAGGCGGAGCCAAUCCUGAAAGCAGGCCUCAGUUCAGAUUGCAGUCUGCAACUCGACUGCAUGAAGCCGGAGUUGCUAGUAACCGCAGGUCAGCAAUACUGCGGUGAAUACGUUCCCGGGUCUU